GAUGAACGNUGGCGGCGUGCUUAACACAUGCGAGUCGAACGAGCCUUCGGGCUAGUGGCGGACGGGUGAGUAACGCGUGGGAAUCUGCCCUCAGGAGGGGGAUAACGGCCGGAAACGGCCGCUAAUACCCCAUAUGCCGAGAGGUGAAAUGAAUUUCGCCUGAGGAUGAGCCCGCGUCUGAUUAGCUAGUUGGUGGGGUAAUGGCCCACCAAGGCGACGAUCAGUAGCUGGUCUGAGAGGAUGAUCAGCCACACUGGGACUGAGACACGGCCCAGACUCCUACGGGGGGCAGCAGUGGGGAAGUUUCCGCAAUGGGCGAAAGCCUGACGGAGCAACGCCGCGUGAGGGAUGAAGGCCUCUGGGCUGUAAACCUCUUUUCUCAAGGAAGAAGACAUGACGGUACUUGAGGAAUAAGCCACGGCUAAUUCCGUGCCAGCAGCCGCCGUAACAC
Molecule: ribosomal RNA, 451 nt
Filed under: uncultured bacterium
Lineage: Bacteria
Description: bacterial SSU rRNA
Rfam family: Bacterial small subunit ribosomal RNA
Source: RNAcentral